This 322-nucleotide ribosomal RNA is filed under the name Calappa ocellata. Its description in RNAcentral is "partial 16S ribosomal RNA". Lineage: Eukaryota; Metazoa; Arthropoda; Malacostraca; Decapoda; Calappidae. The record is from RNAcentral.
AAAGGAAAGACUGUCUCUAUAUUAAAUAUUGAAUUUAACUUUUAAGUGAAAAGGCUUAAAUAACUUAGGGGGACGACAAGACCCUAUAAAGCUUUAUAUGUUAUUUACAUAAAAUUGAAUUAGAGAAUUAAAAAUUGUUUGUAGGUAUCUUAUUUUGUUGGGGCGACAAAGGUAAAAUUUGAAAUAACUAUUAUUAACUUGAUUCAAUGAUAAUUGAAGUAAAAUUAAAAGAUCCUUAUUAAAGAUUUAAAAAUAAGUUACUUUAGGGAUAACAGCGUAAUUUCUUUUGAGAGUUCAUAUCGAAAAAGAAGAUUGCGACCUC